Molecule: transfer RNA, 61 nt
Filed under: Macrocheles muscaedomesticae
Lineage: Eukaryota; Metazoa; Arthropoda; Arachnida; Mesostigmata; Macrochelidae
Description: tRNA-Leu
Source: RNAcentral
ACUAAUAUGGCAGAAAAGUGCAAAGAAUUUAAGCUUCUUAUAUAUUUAAUAGUUAUUAGUA